RNAcentral lists this ribosomal RNA (607 nucleotides) under uncultured bacterium. RNAcentral describes it as "bacterial SSU rRNA". It matches the Rfam family "Bacterial small subunit ribosomal RNA", at positions 338 to 1245 of the family's 1533-position model. The record is from RNAcentral.
CCUACGGGAGGCAGCAGUGGGGAAUAUUGCGCAAUGGGCGAAAGCCUGACGCAGCGACGCAGCGUGAGGGAUGAAGGCCUUCGGGUUGUAAACCUCUUUCAGCGGGGACGAAGCGAAAGUGACGGUACCCGCAGAAGAAGCACCGGCUAACUACGUGCCAGCAGCCGCGGUAAUACGUAGGGUGCAAGCAUUGUCCGGAUUUAUUGGGCGUAAAGAGCUCGUAGGCGGCUUGUCACGUCGGGUGUGAAAACUUGGGGCUCAACCCCAAGCCUGCACUCGAUACGGGCUAGCUAGAGUGUUGCAGGGGAGACUGGAAUUCCUGGUGUAGCGGUGAAAUGCGCAGAUAUCAGGAGGAACACCGGUGGCGAAGGCGGGUCUCUGGGCAACUACUGACGCUGAGGAGCGAAAGCGUGGGGAGCGAACAGGAUUAGAUACCCUGGUAGUCCGACGCCGUAAACGGUGGGCGCUAGGUGUGGGGAACCUUCCACGUUCUCUGUGCCGCAGCUAACGCAUUAAGCGCCCCGCCUGGGGAGUACGGCCGCAAGGCUAAAACCGUUAAAGGAAUUGACGGCUUGAGAGUUGCCGACGGCGACGACGAGGGAGGAGG